CGUGAGUGUCGGGUUAAGUCCCGUAACGAGCGCAACCCUUGUCCUUAGUUACCAGCACGUUAUGGUGGGCACUCUAAGGAGACUGCCGGUGACAAACCGGAGGAAGGUGGGGAUGACGUCAAGUCAUCAUGGCCCUUAUGUCCAGGGCGACACACGUGCUACAAUGGCCGGCACAACGGGAAGCGAGUUCGCGAGGACGAGCGGAUCCCUCAAAGCCGGUCGCAGUUCGGAUUGAAGUCUGCAACUCGACUUCAUGAAGCUGGAAUCGCUAGUAAUCGUGGAUCAGCCAAGCCGCGGUGAAUACGUUCCCGGGCCUU
RNAcentral lists this ribosomal RNA (317 nucleotides) under uncultured Synergistaceae bacterium. RNAcentral's name for it is "bacterial SSU rRNA". It matches the Rfam family "Bacterial small subunit ribosomal RNA", at positions 1066 to 1382 of the family's 1533-position model. Lineage: Bacteria; Thermotogati; Synergistota; Synergistia; Synergistales; Synergistaceae. The record is from RNAcentral.